This 441-nucleotide ribosomal RNA is filed under the name uncultured bacterium. RNAcentral's name for it is "partial 16S ribosomal RNA". It matches the Rfam family "Bacterial small subunit ribosomal RNA", at positions 338 to 795 of the family's 1533-position model. The record is from RNAcentral.
CCUACGGGUGGCAGCAGUGGGGAAUAUUGGGCAAUGGGCGCAAGCCUGACCCAGCAAUGCCGCGUGAAGGAAGAAGGCUUUCGGGUUGUAAACUUCUUUGACAGGGGAAGAGCAGAAGACGGUACCCUGAAAACAAGCCACGGCUAACUACGUGCCAGCAGCCGCGGUAAUACGUAGGUGGCAAGCGUUGUCCGGAUUUAUUGGGUUUAAAGGGUGCGCAGGCGGUCUGUUAAGUCAGCGGUCAAAGCCCGGGGCUCAACCCCGGCCCGCCGUUGAAACUGGCAGUCUCGAGUUGGAGAGAAGUAUGCGGAAUGCGCGGUGUAGCGGUGAAAUGCAUAGAUAUCGCGCAGAACUCCGAUUGCGAAGGCAGCAUGCCGGCUCCACACUGACGCUGAGGCACGAAAGCGUGGGUAUCGAACAGGAUUAGAUACCCCGGUAGUC